UGGGGAAUUUUGGACAAUGGGCGAAAGCCUGAUCCAGCAAUGCCGCGUGUGUGAAGAAGGCCUUCGGGUUGUAAAGCACUUUUGUCCGGAAAGAAAUCCUUGGCUCUAAUACAGUCGGGGGAUGACGGUACCGGAAGAAUAAGCACCGGCUAACUACGUGCCAGCAGCCGCGGUAAUACGUAGGGUGCAAGCGUUAAUCGGAAUUACUGGGCGUAAAGCGUGCGCAGGCGGUUUGCUAAGACCGAUGUGAAAUCCCCGGGCUCAACCUGGGAACUGCAUUGGUGACUGGCAGGCUAGAGUAUGGCAGAGGGGGGUAGAAUUCCACGUGUAGCAGUGAAAUGCGUAGAGAUGUGGAGGAAUACCGAUGGCGAAGGCAGCCCCCUGGGCCAAUACUGACGCUCAUGCACGAAAGCGUGGGGAGCAAAACAGGAUUAGAUACCCUGGUAGUCCACGCCCUAAAACGAUGUCAACUAGUUGUUGGGGAUUCAUUUCCUUAGUAACGUAGCUAACGCGUGAAGUUGACCGCCCGGGAGUACGGUCGCAAGAUUAAAACUCAAAUGAAUUGACGGGGUC
Molecule: ribosomal RNA, 573 nt
Filed under: uncultured bacterium
Lineage: Bacteria
Description: partial 16S ribosomal RNA
Rfam family: Bacterial small subunit ribosomal RNA
Source: RNAcentral